GACGAACGCUGGCGGCGUGCUUAACACAUGCAAGUCGAACGGAAAGGCCCUGCUUUUGUGGGGUGCUCGAGUGGCGAACGGGUGAGUAACACGUGAGUAACCUGCCCUUGACUUUGGGAUAACUUCAGGAAACUGGGGCUAAUACCGGAUAGGAGCUCCUGCUGCAUGGUGGGGGUUGGAAAGUUUCGGCGGUUGGGGAUGGACUCGCGGCUUAUCAGCUUGUUGGUGGGGUAGUGGCUUACCAAGGCUUUGACGGGUAGCCGGCCUGAGAGGGUGACCGGCGACAUUGGGACUGAGAUACGGGCCAGAGGCCUCCGGGAGGCAGCAGUGGGGAAUAUUGCACAAUGGGCGGAAGCCUGAUGCAGCAACGCCGCGUGCGGGAUGACGGCCUUCGGGUUGUAAACCGCUUUCGCCGGUGACGAAGCGUGAGUGACGGUAAUGGGUAAAGAAGCACCGGCUAACUACGUG
This 468-nucleotide ribosomal RNA is filed under the name uncultured bacterium. Its description in RNAcentral is "partial 16S ribosomal RNA". It matches the Rfam family "Bacterial small subunit ribosomal RNA", at positions 28 to 507 of the family's 1533-position model. The record is from RNAcentral.